RNAcentral lists this ribosomal RNA (501 nucleotides) under uncultured bacterium. Its description in RNAcentral is "bacterial SSU rRNA". It matches the Rfam family "Bacterial small subunit ribosomal RNA", at positions 899 to 1397 of the family's 1533-position model. The record is from RNAcentral.
ACUCAAAGGAAUUGACGGGGGCCCGCACAAGCGGUGGAGCAUGUGGUUUAAUUCGACGCAACGCGCAGAACCUUACCUGGGCUAGAAAAUGCAGGAACCCGGUCGAAAGGUCGGGGUGCCCUUCGGGGAAUCUGUAGUUAGGUGCUGCAUGGCUGUCGUCAGCUCGUGUCGUAAGAUGUUGGGUUAAGUCCCGCAACGAGCGCAACCCUUGCCGUUAGUUGCCAGCAUUCAGUUGGGCACUCUAACGGGACUGCCGACCCUUAAGUCGGAGGAAGGUGGGGAUGACGUCAAGUCCUCAUGGCCCUUAUGUCCAGGGCUACACACGUGCUACAAUGGCCGGCACAAAGGGCAGCAAACCCGUGAGGGGGAGCCAAUCCCAAAAAACCGGCCUCAGUUCGGAUAAGAGUCUGCAACUCGACUCUUUGAAGUCGGAAUCGCUAGUAAUCCCUGAUCAGCAUGGCAGGGGUGAAUACGUUCCCGGGCCUUGUACACACCGCCCGU